Molecule: ribosomal RNA, 465 nt
Filed under: uncultured bacterium
Lineage: Bacteria
Description: partial 16S ribosomal RNA
Rfam family: Bacterial small subunit ribosomal RNA
Source: RNAcentral
CCUACGGGAGGCAGCAGUGGGGAAUUUUCCGCAAUGCUCGUAAGAGUGAUGCAGCGACGCCGCGUGAAUGACGAAGGUCUUCGGGUCGUAAAGUUCUGUCGACAGGGAAGAACAUGCAUAUAAGUAACUGUGUACGUAUUGACGGUACCUGUAUAGGCAGCGCUGGCUAACUCUGUGCCAGCAGCCGCGGUAAUACGGAGGUCGCGAGCGUUAUUCGGAGUGACUGGGCGUAAAGAGCACGUAGGCGGUAUGUCAAGUCAGGGGUGAAAUCCCCGCGCUCAACGUAGGAACUGCCUUUGAUACUGGCAAACUGGAGUGUGAUAGAGGUUAGUGGAAUUCCAGGUGAAGGAGUGAAAUCCGUAGAUAUAUGGAGGAACAUCAGUGGCGAAGGCGACUAUCUGGCACAUAACUGACGCUGAGGAGCGAAAGCGUGGGGAGCAAACAGGAUUAGAUACCCGAGUAGUC